This 254-nucleotide ribosomal RNA is filed under the name uncultured bacterium. Its description in RNAcentral is "partial 16S ribosomal RNA". It matches the Rfam family "Bacterial small subunit ribosomal RNA", at positions 524 to 776 of the family's 1533-position model. The record is from RNAcentral.
UACGUAGGGGCCUAGCGUUGUCCGGAUUUAUUGGGCGUAAAGAGCUCGUAGGCGGUUCGGUAAGUCAGGUGUGAAAUCUCCACGCUCAACGUGGAGGCGCCACCUGAAACUGCCGUGACUCGAGUCCGGUAGGGGAGUGUGGAAUUCCCGGUGUAGCGGUGAAAUGCGCAGAUAUCUGGAGGAACACCGGUGGCGAAGGCGGCAUCCUGGGUCGGUAUUGACGCUGAGGAGCGAAAGCCAGGGGAGCAAACGGG